AAAUAAUUCCCUCAAAGUGGUAUGAAAAUUCUAGUGUUACAGAUCAUACCUGGCUCAUUCAACUGGCUCAAAACGUAGGCAUGGAGAAGCUAAAACAUGUUUGGAAGGAAAGAGAAGUGAAGCGACCAGAGAGAGCCUUGUCCUGGUUUCAUUUUAAGGAUUUAAAAAAGUUACAGGAUAAGCUCCUUAGAGGACAAUCACAUCAGAACAGUAAUGAAGUCUUUUCACAAGAAAAAGAAAUCCAAGGUGACUGGCUGUCACAAAAUAGCUUUAAAGAAAAAAAAAAAAACAAAAAAAAAAAAAAAAAAAAAAAAAAGAAUAAUAAUAAUAAUAAUAAUAAUAAUAAUAAUACAUUUCCUAGAACAUUACUUAAGACGCUUCCGAAAAGCGCCCGAGCUUCCCCAUCCCCUCCCCGCCUUCCCUUAUCUAUACAGAAUAAAGUGCUUCAUUUAGUUUGUUCACACUAGUAGAGCCACCAAUACACUCUUUAACUUGGCAUGUUUGGGCAACCGAUACUGAAUGCCGGAAAAAUAAUACAGAGCCAAACACCAGGCAUGAGAAACUAGUUUUGAGGCAAGUGCUUGGGGUUUCAUUCGUUUCCUUCAAGUUCCAUGCUACUGAGGUUGUUCUCAUUCCUAUUUUUUAGCUUUUUUUUUUCUUCUUCCUUUUUUUUUUUUUUUUAACUAUUAUUUUCUUCCUUUGCAAGUCCGACCCAACUCCCGUCGUGGUUCCGUGUCACCGGGCAGGGCUGCGUGUGGGGAAGCUCUCGCCGUCCGUGCGAACAAGGGGCGUCUGUCUGUCCGUCCUUCCCUCCCUCCCAGCUUCGGGCAAACCAAGAGUUCACUCAGUGGAGUUGUCUAGCAGCGGAUGCUCAUCUCUAUUGCACUGUCACAGCCAUUCCCACCCGUCCGUCCGUCUGUCUGUCCGUCCCACCGCGCCGGGGUUAUGGCUGUGGUCCGUAGGGCCAGCCGCGCCUCACGGGGGGGUGAGGCCAACUGGUCUGUGCUACCAGGCUCCUGGGAUACAUAAAACCAAAAACAAACAAAAAAAAAAGGACCCUCCCCACAUGACUCCCUCCCUCCCCAAAAGUUCAAACGAAGGGGUGAGGGGGGGAAACAAAAGAAAAAACAAAUCCCGACCCAGAGGGGCGUGGGUGCGUGGGAGGAGUCGCCGGCUGGACGUUGAACUGCUUCGUGGAAAACAAGCCCCUCUCCACCCUCGCGGUCUUGCCGGAGAAGGGGUGUGAGAGAUUAAGGUGCAAGAGUUAAAAAUUAAAGUAAAAAUAAAAAAAAAGAAUUUAAAAAAAAAAAAAAUAAA
Molecule: long non-coding RNA, 1317 nt
Filed under: Manacus vitellinus (golden-collared manakin)
Lineage: Eukaryota; Metazoa; Chordata; Aves; Passeriformes; Pipridae
Description: lncRNA (ENSMVIG00005019516.1)
Source: RNAcentral